GGGAAGCGCCGCGAAGUAGAUUUUAAAUAAGGUCAAACAUUAUAAAUAAUAAUAUAUUGGUUUAUUAUUUGUAUAUCUUUUUCUAUUUAUUUAAAUUAAUAAAUUAAACGAUUAGAAAAUUGAUUUGAUUAUUCAUUUAUUUGAGUAAUUAGUGUAGUUAUUCUUUAAUAUAUAAUUUUAUUAUAUUUUUUACUAGGUACUUAACUGCUUUUUUUUAGGUCUAAUUAGUUUCGACUAACCCAUCUGAGUAACAUCUCAAAAGUCAUAGCAAGGUAGCUUGUACUGGAA
Molecule: ribosomal RNA, 288 nt
Filed under: Alnicola spectabilis
Lineage: Eukaryota; Fungi; Basidiomycota; Agaricomycetes; Agaricales; Hymenogastraceae
Description: partial small subunit ribosomal RNA
Source: RNAcentral